Molecule: long non-coding RNA, 419 nt
Organism: Chinchilla lanigera (long-tailed chinchilla)
Lineage: Eukaryota; Metazoa; Chordata; Mammalia; Rodentia; Chinchillidae
Source: Ensembl
AAUGAGAGAAGAGAUGUGAAAUUUAAUCAAAUCAGAGUGACCGUGAAAGACCAACGUUUUGAGUUGAUUCAGGGCAUCAAGGCAGCUAAGACAGCACAACUAAAGGUGCUCAGAAGAGGACUCCCAGAAUUUCAGAAUGUGGUAAGAACAAAGGGCUGUGUGAGCAGUUGGAACAGAUGCUUCAAAAUUGAACUGUCAGGAAUUUGGACUCCGAACAGAAGGAGGCCUCGUGAUUACCUUGAAUGGAAAUGGGGCUCCCUGGUAGCCUCGCUGCCUGUUCUGGGAUGUCACCAUUCUACUUUUUUCUAAGUUAGCAACAACUCACGAUGAAUUUGUGCCUCUACCUCCUCUACUUCAGCCUUAUUUAUAACACCAAAAGUAAGUGAAUAUGUGUGGGACUGAAAUAAAUUAUCACUGAA